AUUGAACGCUGGCGGCAGGCCUAACACAUGCAAGUCGAGCGGAUGCAGGGAGCUUGCUCCUGGAUUCAGCGGCGGACGGGUGAGUAAUGCCUAGGAAUCUGCCUGGUAGUGGGGGAUAACGUCCGGAAACGGGCGCUAAUACCGCAUACGUCCUGAGGGAGAAAGUGGGGGAUCUUCGGACCUCACGCUAUCAGAUGAGCCUAGGUCGGAUUAGCUAGUUGGUGGGGUAAAGGCCUACCAAGGCGACGAUCCGUAACUGGUCUGAGAGGAUGAUCAGUCACACUGGAACUGAGACACGGUCCAGACUCCUACGGGAGGCAGCAGUGGGGAAUAUUGGACCAUGGGCGAAAGCCUGAUCCAGCCAUGCCGCGUGUGUGAAGAAGGGCUUCGGAUUGUAAAGCACUUUAAGUUGGGAGGAAGGGCAGUAAGUUAAUACCUUGCUGUUUUGACGUUACCAACAGAAUAAGCACCGGCUAACUUCGUG
This 484-nucleotide ribosomal RNA is filed under the name uncultured bacterium. RNAcentral's name for it is "partial 16S ribosomal RNA". It matches the Rfam family "Bacterial small subunit ribosomal RNA", at positions 30 to 507 of the family's 1533-position model. The record is from RNAcentral.